CAGCAGUAAGGAAUAUUGGGCAAUGGUCGGAAGACUGACCCAGCCAUGCCGCGUGCAGGAAGAAGGCCCUAUGGGUUGUAAACUGCUUUAGCCAGGGGCUAAACCUACCGAUGCGUUGGUAGCUGAAGGUACCUGGAGAAUAAGCAUCGGCUAACUCCGUGCCAGCAGCCGCGGUAAUACGGAGGAUGCGAGCGUUAUCCGGAUUUACUGGGUUUAAAGGGUGCGCAGGCGGUUGUUUAAGUCAGGGGUGAAAGCCCUAUGCUCAACAUAGGGAUUGCCUUUGAUACUGAACGGCUAGAGUGAAGAUGGAGUGGGUGGAAUGUGUUGUGUAGCGGUGAAAUGCAUAGAUAUAACACAGAACACCGAUCGCGAAGGCAGCUCACUAAUUUUCAACUGACGCUCAUGCACGAAAGCGUGGGGAUCAAACAGGAUUAGAUACCCUGGUAGUCCACGCUGUAAACGAUGAUCACUAGCUGUUGGUACGCUGAAGUAUCAGUGGCUAAGCGAAAGUGAUAAGUG
RNAcentral lists this ribosomal RNA (519 nucleotides) under uncultured bacterium. Its description in RNAcentral is "bacterial SSU rRNA". It matches the Rfam family "Bacterial small subunit ribosomal RNA", at positions 349 to 866 of the family's 1533-position model. The record is from RNAcentral.